Molecule: ribosomal RNA, 497 nt
Filed under: uncultured bacterium
Lineage: Bacteria
Description: partial 16S ribosomal RNA
Rfam family: Bacterial small subunit ribosomal RNA
Source: RNAcentral
GACGAACGCUGGCGGCGUGCCUAAUACAUGCAAGUUGAGCGCUGAAGGUUGGUACUUGUACCAACUGGAUGAGCAGCGAACGGGUGAGUAACGCGUGGGGAAUCUGCCUUUGAGCGGGGGACAACAUUUGGAAACGAAUGCUAAUACCGCAUAAAAACUUUAAACACAAGUUUUAAGUUUGAAAGAUGCAAUUGCAUCACUCAAAGAUGAUCCCGCGUUGUAUUAGCUAGUUGGUGAGGUAAAGGCUCACCAAGGCGAUGAUACAUAGCCGACCUGAGAGGGUAAUCGGCCACAUUGGGACUGAGACACGGCCCAAACUCCUACGGGAGGCAGCAGUAGGGAAUCUUCGGCAAUGGACGAAAGUCUGACCGAGCAACGCCGCGUGAGUGAAGAAGGGUUUCGGAUCGUAAAACUCUGUUGGUAGAGAAGAACGUUGGUGAGAGUGGAAAGCUCAUCAAGUGACGGUAACUACCCAGAAAGGGACGGCUAACUACGUG